Olea europaea var. sylvestris is the source of this 651-nucleotide long non-coding RNA. RefSeq lists it as uncharacterized. The transcript is spliced from 2 exons. The record is from RefSeq and is a predicted model, not a curated record. Lineage: Eukaryota; Viridiplantae; Streptophyta; Magnoliopsida; Lamiales; Oleaceae.
UCAGCUUGUGGUCACAGUCUAAUUUUGAUGACUCCAGCGCUCAACCAUGUUUCAGACUCGAGUAGUCCACGAUAUCGUCUCUAAGAGCUUAAACUGUGAGACAAAGUGGUUCAAGAGUCUCUUAUAUAAAGGCUUAGCACAUUGCUGGCAAAGUGUACAGUUGACCUGAAAGAGAAUACUCUCCCAUGGCAUGCUUAAACCUACUCAAGAAAGAGCAACAACAGGGCCUCUACAAUCCAAGAAUCUCAUUCUCCAAUGAUUUUGCUGAUCCUCAACCAGUGAUGAAGCAGGAAAACAGCUACAGAGAAGCCCCCAUCUCGUCCGAUUUCGAGUUUUCUAUCUCUAAUUACCCCAUGGUUUCCGCAGAUGAGCUUAUCUCCAACGGCAAAUUGUUGCCUUUGAAGGAAAAUUGCAGUAAAACUAUCACCCUUAGAGAUGAACUCCUUGUUGAUGAUGAUGACUAGGAGAAUGUAUCACCAAGAUUAGCUAAAGGUACAAGUCUUUGGAAGGAGCUAAAAAGGUCUCACAUUGUACCUAAGAAAGCUGUUAAAAGUGGAGUUAUGGAAAGAACUGAUGAUCUAUUCCAUAAGCAGAUUUAUGCCAACUUGAAAGGAUCCAACUGGCGAAGAUGAUUUGCUGGAUUUAGGGAGA